AACCUUUAAACAACAAGUCCACUUGACGCUGACGCAAGAUAAAACUAAAGACCAUAGAGAAAAAGAAAAGGAGGGACCAUGACAACACACCAUUAAACAUAAAACCUUUCAUUUAUUCAAAGUCUUGAGGAUAGAUCAAUGACCUAUAGAUUCCUUUCACUUGCUGAAGGUUUGAGGAUAGAUCAACAACCUGUACAUUAAAAAGAAUAAAUCUUGAACCAAUAAAAUGUAAAGUAUUAAUUAUUGCCAAAGUCAUAAGAAUGUGCAUAUUAAAUUAAUUAAAAUUCAUAAAUUAAUCAAUAGAUCAACUAAAUCUCAUAAACUAACCAGUAAAAUAAUUUUUUUUUUACCAUUUAUUGAUUGAGAAAAUUUCUCAAGUGAGGGUCAAUACAUAGACCUUGUCUUUGGUAUUCUGGAUCGUACAG
RNAcentral lists this long non-coding RNA (425 nucleotides) under Brassica napus (rape). Its description in RNAcentral is "long non-coding RNA (BNAP_LNC019334)". Lineage: Eukaryota; Viridiplantae; Streptophyta; Magnoliopsida; Brassicales; Brassicaceae. The record is from RNAcentral.